Molecule: ribosomal RNA, 591 nt
Filed under: uncultured bacterium
Lineage: Bacteria
Description: bacterial SSU rRNA
Rfam family: Bacterial small subunit ribosomal RNA
Source: RNAcentral
CGGCGUGGAUUAGGCAUGCAAGUCGCACGAGAAACUAAUUAGCUUGCUAAGAGGUGGACAGUGGCGCAAGGGAGAGUAACGCGUGGUUACUUGCCCUCGAGACCGGGAUAGUGUCGGGAAACUGGCAGUAAUACCGGAUAACAUCUUCGGAUCAAAUGGUGUGAUUCCGCUCGAGGAUAGGACCGCGUACUAUUAGCUUGUUGGUGAGGUAACGGCUCACCAAGGCUGCGAUGGUUACCGGGUGUGAGAGCAUGGCCCGGCUCACUGGGACUGAGACACUGCCCAGACACCUACGGGUGGCUGCAGUCGAGAAUCUUCGGCAAUGGACGAAAGUCUGACCGAGCGACGCCGCGUGCGGGAUGAAGGCCCUCGGGUUGUAAACCGCUGUCAGUAGUUAGGAAAUCCAUGAGGGUUAUCUCUCAUGGUUGACCGAUCUUCAGAGGAAGGACGGGCUAAGUUCGUGCCAGCAGCCGCGGUAAGACGAACCGUCCAAACGUUAUUCGGUAUCACUGGGCUUAAAGCGUGCGUAGGCGGCUUGGUAGGUGAGAUGUGAAAGCCCACGGCUCAACCGUGGAAUUGCGUUUCAAACCC